RNAcentral lists this ribosomal RNA (497 nucleotides) under uncultured bacterium. RNAcentral describes it as "partial 16S ribosomal RNA". It matches the Rfam family "Bacterial small subunit ribosomal RNA", at positions 28 to 507 of the family's 1533-position model. The record is from RNAcentral.
GAUGAACGCUGGCGGCGUGCCUAAUACAUGCAAGUCGAGCGAACAGAUAAGAGGCUUCUUCCUCGGACGUUAGCCGCGGACGGGUGAGUAACACGUGGAUAAUCUACCUAUAAGACGGGGAUAACUUCGGGAAACCGGCGCUAAUCCCGUAUCACAUUAUGAACCGCAUGAUUCUAAAGUGAAAUACAGUUUUGCUAUCACUUAUAGAUGGACCGGCGUCGUAUUAGCUGGUUGGUAAGGUAACGCAUUACGAAGGCAACGAUACGUAGCCGACCUGAGAGGGUGAUCGGCCACACUGGACCUGGGCAACGCUCCAGACUCCUACGGGAGGAACCGUUAGGGAAUCUUGCGCAAUGAGCGAAAGCCUAACGGAGCAAGCCCGGUUGAUUAAUGAAGUGUUUGGAUCCGUAAACCCCUGUUAAAAGGAAGAAACAGACGUAUAAUUAAAUGUGCACGUUUUGACGGUACCUAAUCAGAAAGCCACGGCUAACUACGUG